AACGCACCUUGCGCUCCUUGGUAUUCCGAGGAGCAUGCCUGUUUGAGUGUCAUGAAAUUCUCAACCUCUUCUUGCUUUGCGGCUUGAAGUAGGCUUGGAUUUGGGAGCUGCUGGUUUAACGAUCGGCUCUCCUUGAAUGCAUUAGCUGGACUUUCCGAUUUAAUAGCGGUUUCACGGUGUGAUAACUAUCUACGCCUGGUAAAUCCUAUUAGGUCUGUCUGGUCGAGCUUCUAACCAGUUCGUCCUUUGCUGGACAAACACUUUUAAGAUCUGACCUCAAAUCAGGUAGGACUACCCGCUGAACUUAA
Molecule: unclassified non-coding RNA, 308 nt
Filed under: uncultured Rickenella
Lineage: Eukaryota; Fungi; Basidiomycota; Agaricomycetes; Agaricales; Tricholomataceae
Description: sequence contains ITS2
Rfam family: 5.8S ribosomal RNA (bases 1-52)
Source: RNAcentral